RNAcentral lists this ribosomal RNA (253 nucleotides) under uncultured bacterium. RNAcentral's name for it is "partial 16S ribosomal RNA". It matches the Rfam family "Bacterial small subunit ribosomal RNA", at positions 524 to 776 of the family's 1533-position model. The record is from RNAcentral.
UACGGAGGGGGCUAGCGUUGUUCGGAAUUACUGGGCGUAAAGCGCGCGUAGGUGGUUUGUCGCGUUGUUCGUGAAAACUCACAGCUUAACUGUGGGCGUGCGGGCGAUACGGGCAGACUGGAGUACUGCAGGGGAGACUGGAAUUCCUGGUGUAGCGGUGAAAUGCGUAGAUAUCGUAAGGAAGACCAGUGGCGAAGGCGGGUCUCUGGACAGUUCCUGACGCUGAGGCACGAAGGCCAGGGGAGCAAACGGG